ACAGAGGAGCCUACAGUCCAUAGGGUCGCAGAGGGCUGGGCACGACUGAAGUGCCUUAGGAUGCACGUGGGGUUUGGGAGCAAAGCCAUGGGCCCAAGUAUAGGCCUGUUCGUCAUGUGCAGCUGCACGUUACUGCCCGUGAAAGAGAAAGAGACUCUUCCCAUGUGUGCGCUUGGCCACAAGAUGAUACUUGAGAGGCUUGACUUCAAGAUUAUGAUCACCGUUGCGGGCGGCCUCCUGAUGGCCGCGAGCCUGCUGAUGUGCUUUAUCAUCUGUCUUAGCUACAAAGUGACAAAGUCAAUGAAGGGAGAGAAGAUGGAAAAUGUAACGAGCAAUGACGCUGACAAAAAAGAUAAGAAACCCGCUUUGGAAGCAGGUCAACCUGAGGUUCCGCCAACUCCAGCGUCAAAGCCCCGGUGACAGUCUUGGAGAGAGAUGCCCUGGGGACCCUCAGUCCAGACAGGUGGGGCCCCGGCAUCUCCCAGCCACAGUGCUGCCUUGGGAAGCACAGUCAGCCCGGCUACCUCCCGACUCUGUCCCUUCAGUGUCCACGGUCCCUCGAGGGUAGGAGCCGCCUCUCACCCCCGGGGUCCCCGCACACAGCCCAGACUCCUUAGGUGUCAGGAGUAAUAACCCCCCGUCGCCUUUGCACCAGAUAAACCUCUCAGACACAGCAGUAAAUCAUGAAUAGCAUUAAUUUUGCUGACUGGUAAGAGUAUGUUACGCAUUAGGAUGUUUAGUAAAAUAAUUUCCUGCUACUUUAUUUUCUGAAAACCCAUAUAUAUCACAAUGUCUUUAUUUUACCACCCAUUUGCAUUUAACAUAAUUGCAUAAGCAUUUAACAUAAUAGCUGGCAUGGGGCUAUUAUUUUAACUCAUUAAGUGAGUUACUAUACGUAAUGAAUGAGUUAAAGCCCCUAAAAUGUGGAAUGGUGACUGAGAACACAUCCUGUAAUUAGGAGCUGGGCUAAGAGGUCCAAAGGAAACAUCUUCAACUCACUGCUGACCACCAGGGCCCGAGGCCCAGCCCUAGUUCAGCACACAGACUCCUGCCCAAUGCUGUACUCUUCUCAAAGGUCUUCCUUCACCAGCACUCUGGGAGUGGGCUGGGGUGGGCACACGAGAGCCCAUGUCAGGGGGAACACAGCACAGCAAACCCUCCCCAGCACCCAUGUUGAACGCCUCCUCCCUGCUCUCUCCUCUCCCACCCCACGUUCUGUCCCUUCUGAUCCUUAAGGACAUGGGAGCUUAAGGCGGGAACUCUCUGAGGGUCGUGUGGGACGCAGGCCUCAUGCUGGUUCCCAGCUGCCACAUUGGGCCUGGGAGGUGCCCUGCACAUCCCCAACCUCAAUGCGGACCCUUCCCAGAUGAGACCUGUGCCUGGUGAGCUCCUGUCCUCAGGCCGCCAUUCCCUCUCUCCCAGCCGCCAGACCACAGACGAUGACCUAGCUUAACUCUGGG
RNAcentral lists this long non-coding RNA (1460 nucleotides) under Bos grunniens (domestic yak). RNAcentral's name for it is "lncRNA (ENSBGRG00000008648.1)". The record is from RNAcentral. Lineage: Eukaryota; Metazoa; Chordata; Mammalia; Artiodactyla; Bovidae.